RNAcentral lists this ribosomal RNA (253 nucleotides) under uncultured bacterium. RNAcentral's name for it is "partial 16S ribosomal RNA". It matches the Rfam family "Bacterial small subunit ribosomal RNA", at positions 524 to 776 of the family's 1533-position model. The record is from RNAcentral.
UGCGUAGGGUGCAAGCGUUGUCCGGAAUUAUUGGGCGUAAAGAGCUCGUAGGCGGUUUGUCGCGUCUGCUGUGAAAACUCGGGGCUUAACUCCGGGCCUGCAGUGGGUACGGGCAGACUAGAGUGCGGUAGGGGAGACUGGAAUUCCUGGUGUAGCGGUGAAAUGCGCAGAUAUCAGGAGGAACACCAGUGGCGAAGGCGGGUCUCUGGACAGUUCCUGACGCUGAGGCACGAAGGUCAGGGGAGCAAACGGG